RNAcentral lists this non-coding RNA (33 nucleotides) under Tetraselmis striata. Lineage: Eukaryota; Viridiplantae; Chlorophyta; Chlorodendrophyceae; Chlorodendrales; Chlorodendraceae. The record is from RNAcentral. RNAcentral also lists the same sequence under 242 other names.
GUUUCCGUAGGUGAACCUGCGGAAGGAUCAUUG